AAGGAGCAGUGGAAAUCAGUUGGCUGAGACACCUAUCUCCCAUCAGAGCGAUGGGAGACCUGAGACCCCUGGCAGGGGCAUCUUAAUCCAGGGCACAAUUCUUUGGGGUGUCACUGAAUUGCUUGCUUACAUCCUUUCUCAAGCACCUUCUCAGGUCUCAAGGUGACCUGUUCAUUCUCUAUGUCUUGUCACGAUGCAAGUUCACUUGUGUUCAUCCACCAACAGGGGCCUCCAAGGAGCCACCACCCACUCCACCCAGCCUCACAAAGAGACAAGUGAAGCAGAAGGUGAAGAGCCUGACCACUCAGCUCCAGGUGAUGACCACCCAACGCAAUGAUCUGAGAGAUCGCCUCAUCUUAGUAACCGAAGGAUCCUUGGACAACAGACCCUACCACAGGCUAAAUCCUUUCUGGGAAAACAUCAAGAUGGAACAUCAGCAGGUCAUGUCAGACCUGCAGAAUUUCGAGAAUGAGAAUUUGGAGGCCUCACAGAAGUUAUGUGAGCUGACCAAGGACAAAGUCUUCCUUUGCAGGCUUUCCUUGAACUCACAGAGCUCUGACUGCUUAUGCCUCCCAAGUGAUGGGAUUUAAAGGUAUGUCUCACCAUAUCUGAAAUUACAUAUUUAUUCAGGAAUAUCACCUGUACGGAUGAGAUUCACAGCCUUGUCACUAUUUGAUAUAACAAUGGCCCUCUUCAUUGUCUGAGCAUUUCCCAUGUUAAGUGUACUGGGGUAUAAUAAGUUUAGUCAUUGGCAGGAUGAAGUCAGGCAGAUGUCUCUGCUGAAAAUUGUUCAGAACCUUCACAGAAUGUUGUGGAACAGACUUCUCAGGAGUACCAGGAUGUAGAUUCCAGGCUGUAGGCCUAAGGAUAACACAGCUGUUUUUGUUUAUUCCCAGAAUUCAUACAGUGGCAAUGUUCUCAGACACAUGAAACAAGAAAUGUUGCUCUAGCAUGACCGGCUCCAUUUUGCAGGAGAGAGAGCUGAUUUUUCCACAUGACCUUAGUCAGCUGUCUAGUUUGCAAAGCUGUAUUAAGUCUAUGUAUAAAAAUGAGUUGGUCAAUGAAAAACUCAUCAUGAACAGUCUGUGUAUCUCCUCUAUGUCGUUAUGUAUGACUUUAAUAUGCUAUUCCUUUUGUUUAAAUGAUGUCCCUAGACUGUAGGAAAAAAGCCCUGUUCUUUCUCAUAGAGCACAGAACAUACAUUACUCAUAUAAACACCUGAUACUUAUGGGCAGAAAAGAAUUCAAGGCCCAGCUAUUCUGUGACACUUAUCUCUUAGGGAUACAAACAAUGACUGCUGCCAAAGUUCAAUGUUGACUGUCCAGCACAACUGAGGUUUUGUGAUGUCAGAGAUUGGCAGGACACAUGGCAGACCCCACCAGGACUCUGCCCUAACUGCCUUCCUCAUCCAGGUCAGAAAAACUCCUACAUGAGCUGGAACGGUCCACAGCUUAGGAUGAGAGCCUCCUGCCAACAGAGCUGCUGCAGCAGGAGCACUAAGUGUCAUAAGCAAGUGAGCCACCAUGACAUCCCUUCUCCAGCAACAUGGCAUUUGUAGGGUUGAUGUUCCUUCUUGAUUCUGCUUUCCUAUGUGUGAAUAGGUCCUCAAUUAGUCUAGCCAGUGACCAAGCAAAGCUGUUUUAGAUCUCAUUGCCUUUUCUUCUCUCACAGCAUCCUUUACAAGAACAUAGUUUAAGAUCAACAUUGGCAAGGGCUUAACCUAAAGGCCCCAAAGUGGCACGACUACACUUGUCUUGAAGAGACCAUAAUGCCAAUUAUGGUUGUCUUCCAACUUGUAUCCAAAUCCAACCACAGGGUAUAGGAUAGUGCCACUAAAUCUGCAAGAAGAGAAUGCUUCUCAGUGUAAAUAGAUUUGGUUUGCUGUUGUGUUUGUUUCCAUUCAGGUUUUGAUUUUCUUUGUUUUGUUUGGUGUUUGAUACUUUUUGGUUCUUUUGUUCUUUCUUUGAUUUUAUAUUUUGCUAAGGCUAUACACUGGAUAUACUAAAUGCCCUUUUAAAGCCCCUAUUGAGUCGAAUUUCUGUAAUUUCAUAAAUAAAAAAGCAAUUUCCAACUCUUCAGUCUUAUAGUAGCUUUAGUAGUCAGAUGUGGUAUUACACUCCUGUAACCUUAGAACUCAACAGGCAGAGAUGGAUCUCUGCAAGUUCCAGGAGGCUUAGGCUAGUGGGUUCCCAGCCAGGCAGGGUUGGAAAAAGGGAUGGUGUCUUGGCUGUGAAUCACAUGGCCUACAACAAGAAUAUCCACUUCAUGAUGGAAAAAGAUCCAUACUCAACAUACGACUUCACAUGAUUAGCUAUUCAAAAAAAAAAAACGGAGACUAGAUACACACAUGUUCAUGACAUGAUCAUUCAUAUCAGAAUUUUUUGAAAAAUACCUGUGUUUAUAUGAGUAUAAAAAAUGGGGAAAUCCAUAGUUAUCUGCCUUUUAGAGGCAGUGCAUUAGGAGAGAGACUGUCCCCUUCCUGGCAGCUCUGAGUGCCCUGAGCUGUCAGUGAGGAAGGGGUGGUGAAUCUGAUGACUAAGUUUUGUCCUGCAUGACUUUUCCAUCAAUGUGAGGGUCUGAAGCAUCCAGAAAGUACUUGGGCAAACCCCACACCACCUGUGUGCCUGUGGAUAGUACCAGUUUUCCUCUGGCUCUGACAAAAGAGGACUGAAGACUCCGAAGACAAGUCACAUCAUGGACAACAGUGAAUAAUCCCAAUGAGGUUGUCUUGUGGGUCACCUUGUGCAGGGAGGCAGAGGAAAUCAGCUGACCUCUGAGACACCCACUACCUAUAGAGAAUUGGUAGAACUGAUAGCCACUGUAGCUGAAGUUUUCCUGUGUUCCAGCCUACAGUCAGUCGGGAGAAAUCUCUCCCAGGGACAAAUCUCUCCCACUCGCGUCCCCCAAGUAAACGUAAAAAGACUUAUAUUACUUAUAAACUGUAUGGUUGUGGCAGGUUUUUUGCUAUCUGUUCUUAUAUCUUAAAUUAACCCAUUUCUAUAAAUCUAUACCUUGCCACGUGGCUGGUGACUUACCGGUAUCUUAACAUCUGCUUCUCAUCCUGGCAUCUGGCAGCAUCUCUCUGCCUCAGCCUUCCACUUCCGAGAAUUCUACUCUCUGCUUGUCUUGCCUAUCACACUUCCUGCCUGGCUACUGGCCAAUCAGCAUUUUAUUUAUCAAUCAAUCAUAGCAAUACAUUCACAGUAUAGAGAACAUCCCACAGCAAGCCACAGAGGGCCACUUAUCUGGGCCUUCAGAUCCUGCUAGGGUAGUCUCUCAUCUGCCAGUCACUUUCUGAACAUUCUUCUUAUUGAUCAGAGACCAUAAGGAAGGGAAGAGCCAUUCCCGGGGCUGUUUUUGAAAAGUAAGUCUUCAACUCCCUACAGAUAAGUAAUGAAAAGAUUCUAAUGAGGCAGAGAGAGAUCUCUGGCUUUGUAAGGAAGAGGUACUGAAUGGCGUCCCCUGUGUCUCUGAGAAUAAUCCUGGAAAGGACAACUCCUGGCUAAUUGGGGAAGGGCUCAGUAGCACAUAGGUGAGGGCUGUGGCAGUGACCCUAACAGUCACUUCCCUGAACAUUCUAUUGUAUCCUGGAGAGCCCUGAGUGUCCUCUUGAUGCCACCACUGUUGACGCAACACCAACUGCCAUUUAGGGCAUUUGUACAGUGCCUCUGGGAAUCACAAAGACAUGUUGGUGAGACUGAGAGAGCUACUUGGGAGAGAAUGGACAGUCUAGAGAAGAGAGAGAAGCAGAAGGAAGCUAUUCAUCUGUCUCAGGUAAACAUCAAGAAAUAAAUAUUCCAGGGGAAGGUGCAGUCAGUUUUGUGCAGGGAAUGAGGAGCUCCCUGGAGGAGGUAGGCCUUGAGCUUGGCCUUUCAAGAAUGGGACUCAGCAGCUGGGAGACUCUGGGAAACAAUGGUCCUAUCCUGCUUCUCUGGGUUCCUAAAUAGCAGACACAGAGAAGGAUUUCUGAGGGUUUGUUUGGCAGAGAUCCAGGAAUUAUCAAGUCUGCAGCUACUAUGCUGGGGGAAUUCCUUAAUUUCACUCCAAGGGGAAACAGGGCAUCAAGAGGCACAGGAUGAUAGAUGAGGGAUCCCUGUCAGGAUACGGUGUUACUGAACUUUACCCUCAGCAAUUUCUUUUAUGUUCCAUGGAUAUCUGAUGCUAUUGACAGGCAGAUUAAGUCCCCUGGCAUUCACCAAGGUCCCAGCCAUUCAGUUGCUCUUGGUCCUAGACACAGGUGGUCAGGGCUUGGUGCUGCUAAGCACUACGAACUCCAGGACUUAACGUACAUCAUAUCAGAUAUGAGCUGGCGUUGUCCUCCGAACCAGAAUUGCUGGACUAGCUUAUGACUUCCAGAGCCCAUGGGAUUGCAGUGGGUAUGGAGGCACAUAUCUAGACAUUGUGGUGGGGGACAGAGGUAUGGCUUAUGUGACCCAGCUUGAGGAUAGCUGCCCUGUUCCUUCUGGGCUCCACAGACUCCAAACAUUUCCUCUUCCUCAGGCCUCUACUUGGGAGUUAGUGUAAGUAUUACAGCUUUAGGGGAAAUGGCUUCCCCAACAGAAGUGUUACAGCUCUGCCCCAGCAGGCAAGGUUUCCCCAGUGCAAAUUUAACAGCUCUGCUCUGGUAGGGGAAAUUUUCCCAAUGCAAGUGUUACAGCUCUAUUCUGAAAGGUAUCCUGGAAAUCAGGAGACAAGAAAUACCACAAAGUCACACCACACAACAUGCCUCACACAAUAUAUUUAUUGGGAGAGAAAACCCCAAGAGGGUGGCUCCUCUGCUUGGGUGAGAAGCCACAGGGAAUUGAGCAGAAGGCAGGCUAUAUAUGGAGUUUCUUGAGAGUGGGGAACUUUCCAGUUUGGCCUGGCGUUGGUGGGACUUUUGUGGACUGAUCUUGGGGCAAGCUUAGAGAUUGGUAGGAUUGUUUUUCCUGACCCUGGUCAUGGCCUUGGGAACAAGUCUGAGUCAAAAUGUUCUUUCCUUGCACUGGUCUUAAGGCUUUCAUGGUUAAGUUCUUUCCAUGACCCUUUUACUCUACACUUAGCAUUAACUCUCCUGGCCCUAUGCCAUUUAACUAUAUAAUUACCCUUGUGUUUUUUCUACCUCCAGGGACUACUGGAAAGGCAUCAUCCCAACUCUCCCCUCACUUAGGAGGGCCUGGGGUUGAACAAGGUGGAAAAACUGACCAUUCAGCUACAGAUGAUGACCUGUUAGAGGGAUGAACUACUUGGAAUCCUGGACCAUAAUACAAACAAUGAUUUGAAAAACAGGUAGUUGUUAUGCCUAAUUCUCUGUUGACUGUCUUGAAACCACUGUGUCAAGCCCAGGAUUCCUCAGAAAAAGGAUGAACUCCAUGGUGUCCUCAUGCCCAAACUAAUUUUCCCAAGUGCAUCUGAAAGGCAGAACUUGAUGCCCGGGUAGGGGUGAGAUGGGGACACAGGCUGUUCUGCUUCAUUCCAAUGAAAAGCAGAGCCUGUGGCCUGUAUCACACUCUGGGUAUAGGAACAAUAGUGUGUGGUUGCUCAUCAUGCAUUUCAAGAUGUCUUGACAGGUGUUGGCUUGUGGGAAAUACAGGGUGCUAUUAGUUUGUGGUGAGACUUUGUACUUGACUAGCAGGUGAUUUGAAAACAAGGUGUACUUGACAACAUGUCUAUAGGCAAACUGUAUAGGCAUUGAAUGAACAUCCUAAAGGCACUUGGUGUUGCUACAACACUAUUGACAUCACAGGGGAUUCCAAGAGCUCUGCUCUUCAGGAUACAAUAGAAUUGCCAGAGAAGGGACUCCUGACGUCCCACGGAAAAGCCUUUGCCUCCUGGCUAAUAAAUUCUCCCUGAACUGAAAAGAAGCUGAGAUUUCUUUUCCAGGAGUCUCUCCUGUGACACAGGUGAAGCCAUUCAGUAACUCUUCCUUCUAAAGCUGGGAAUUUGUCUCUGCUUCCUUAGAAUUUUUUCACUAUUUUACCCAUGGAGAGUUGAACACUCACUUUAUAAGCACUACCCAAGAAUGGACCUUCCUCUUCUUAACAUCCAUACUCAAUAAUAUGAGAAAUAAAGCAUGCCAAGGAAUUAGAUCAUGAUGAUGUGGAGGAGGAGGGUUGAGUUGUAUGAAGUGAGCAAGCACCUGAGGAAUGCUAAGGUUAAGGGACGGUGACUAUUGAGAAUUUGUAAGUGAGCUGAGACUGUUAUGAGGCCCAAGCUCUUCUAGAAUGUCCACUCUACGUGCAUGGCGUAUUUUCAGGCCUCUAGAGUAACAUAAGUUAUAAAAAUGAAUCUUUAUAUUAAAAGGGGAUUUGUUAGAAUGGCUUACAGCCUGUGAGCUAGCUAAUCCAACAAUGACUGGAAAUGAAUGGGAAGUUCAAGAAUCCAGUAGUUUCUCAGUCCUAAACACUGGAUGUCUCAGCUGUCUCUGAUAUUAUGCUGUAACCUUAAAGUAGUAGGCUCUAAUGUCAGUGAAGGAAUGGAUGCCGCCAACAAGGUGAGAGCAAGCAGAGAAAGAGUAAAAGCUUCCUUCUUCCAUGUCCUCCUAUAGGCUUCCAGCAGAAUGAAUGGUUCAGAUUACACCUGGAUUAAAGAUCUGAAUUGAAGGUGUGACUUCAUUCCUCAAAGUUUCACAAUAAAGUAGUUCUUCCUACAUUAAAUUAAGCAGAAAUAGACCACAGGUGUUCCCUCUAUUUUUGGGUUAUAUUACUCCCAGAUGGCAUCAUGUUGACAUCUAAAAAUAGACAUCAAAGUCUUAAUUCUAUCUACUAAUAUUCUUUAGCAAAUGGCUCCACCAGAGAUUGAAAGGAAGGAGUGGCAAUAAUCAACAGGUACAUGGGAAUCAGCUGUAGAUGUCAUGGUCAUGGUGACUUUCAGUGGCUGCUUUAUGGCUAUGCAUGGCUGAAAUAGGAUGAAAUACCAGUCUGUGGUUUCUUGAGUAAGAGGGGAGAAGCUGGAAACCCAGUACUUUAAGAAUCUGGUCUUUCUUUAUAACUGAAGAUUUGGAAUUCAAAUAAUUAUGUUUUGUUUGAUAGUAACUGUGGUUAAAAACAAGUGCCCAUAGGUAAAACCUGGGUGCUCUUUAAGUAAAAAGAAGAAAGGCCUGAAAUAACAGCACAUUGGACCUGUAAUAAAGAGGAUGGUGUUUCGGGUCAUGUGAAUUUUGACUUGAACUCCUCCAGACCAUGUAUUGCAUACUCUAUACAUCCUGUGAUGCGGGGGUUUGGGGGGGACCUCCUUCCUAAAAGAGGAAGGACUGGGAUGACUACUGUGUGGUCUUCAUUGUCAUCAACAGCUAGAUGCCUCCUAUUGCUUUCAAAGCAAAAAGGAUACAUUUAGAUUUGAAAUUUCUCUAGGGUCAUACAAGUGGGAUUUCAGACAACAGCACCAAUAUACAAAUUCUGUUCAUGAGAUGACACCUGUAGUGGGUAACUGUUCCAGCUUUGAUCUGCAAGUACCACCCUCACUGAGGCUUCGGCAACUGUCACACCUGCAAGGCAGAGCUGAGAGAGGACCCCUGAAGACCCAAGAUCCAGAUGGGCUGGCUCUCUUGGAUCCUGGACGCUGAACGCUGGAGGUAGACCAAGCAGAGUUCUCCUGAGAACACCGUGGACUGCACUACACCUUUCCCAGACUGUGUAACCUAUCCCUUCACUUGUAAAUUACCCCACAAAAUAAACCUCCCUUUUAACUAUG
Molecule: RNA transcript, 7671 nt
Organism: Peromyscus californicus insignis
Lineage: Eukaryota; Metazoa; Chordata; Mammalia; Rodentia; Cricetidae
Gene name: disks large homolog 5-like
Exons: 3
Source: RefSeq, a predicted model, not a curated record